AUUGAACGCUGGCGGCAGGCCUAACACAUGCAAGUCGAACGAGUGGCGGACGGGUGAGUAAUGGCUGGGAAACUGCCUGAUGGAGGGGGAUAAGUACUGGAAACGGUAGCUAAUACUGCAUACAAUCAGAAGUGCCCAGAUGGGAUUAGCGAUUUGGUGGGGUAAAGGCUCACCAAGGCGACGAUCCCUAGCUGGUCUGAGAGGAUGACCAGCCACACUGGAACUGAGACACGGUCCAGACUCCUACGGGAGGCAGCAGUGGGGAAUAUUGCACAAUGGGCGCAAGCCUGAUGCAGCCAUGCCGCGUGUAUGAAGAAGGCCUUCGGGUUGUAAAGUACUUUCAGCGGGGAGGCGUUACCCGCAGAAGAAGCACCGGCUAACUCCGUGCCAGCAGCCGCGGUAAUUC
This 406-nucleotide ribosomal RNA is filed under the name uncultured bacterium. RNAcentral's name for it is "partial 16S ribosomal RNA". It matches the Rfam family "Bacterial small subunit ribosomal RNA", at positions 30 to 526 of the family's 1533-position model. The record is from RNAcentral.